UAUUGCCGCAAAUGGAGUCAUUUGGGGUGAGGCUUUGGCCGGGGGUGGGGGGAGGGUUGUUAUGGGAGUGCAGCGUCGUUGCAGGGUGGUGGUGGAAGUGCAGCACCGUUCGGGGGAUCUAGGUUUGCAGUAUUUUGAUUUUUUUUCCCUUUUAUUUUUGUUAAUUUAAGUUUAUCUAUUAAUUAUUUAAUUCAAUGUUAUAAUGGUAAUUGAUGACUUAAUCUAAACUACCAAACAACUUAUUCACAAUAUCUAUAUUUUACUCCCUUUGUCUCGACUAUCUUGGAACAAAAUUUUUGGACACGAGAUUUAAGAAAUUAG
RNAcentral lists this long non-coding RNA (321 nucleotides) under Salvia miltiorrhiza (redroot sage). Its description in RNAcentral is "long non-coding RNA (SMIL_LNC002968)". The record is from RNAcentral. Lineage: Eukaryota; Viridiplantae; Streptophyta; Magnoliopsida; Lamiales; Lamiaceae.